Cornus florida is the source of this 5154-nucleotide long non-coding RNA. RefSeq lists it as uncharacterized. The transcript has 3 exons. The record is from RefSeq and is a predicted model, not a curated record. NCBI's taxonomy places the organism in Eukaryota, Viridiplantae, Streptophyta, Magnoliopsida, Cornales, Cornaceae.
AGAGCAGCAGCAAAGUGUGCACCUGAGAGAGCCUAAAAUGUGCCUUUAAGCUGAAAAAUAAAGAAGGUCUUGAGAGCUAAGACGUUGAGAGAAUUUCAGAGAGAAUAUGUGAGGUUCUGAGCUGAAUUUAAUCUCUGAAUUCUUCAAGAUAAGUACAUUGAAUCAUUGAAGUAUUAAAGAACUUGUGUUGUUUUUCUGGUGCAAGAAGAGGGCUGUGGAGGUUCAAAAAUUGCUGUAAAGGUUUCUGGGGUUUAAACAAGGCUCAAGCAAGUGCGUUUGAGGUUUUUACAACUGUAGAAGUUGCUCACUUGUACAAAGUUGAGCUGAAGAUGCAGCAAUCAAUGGUUCAAAAGCUCAAAGUAUAGAAGACUUUCUCUUUAGUGGGCUCAACCAACUGGAUUUCAUUACAGUCAAGGAUUGAAAUUCAUCCAAGGUUAUGUGGGAUUCUCUUAGGGCUGUUUAUGAAUCCAAUGAUGAUCUUGAAGAACCAGAAACAACCAAUAUAACAAUUAAUACUAUGGAUGCUCAGUGUACCAAUGCUUUGGUUCAAUGGGAUAAGGUUGAAGAAGAUGUUUGUAUUGAAGUGCUCAAAUCUGAACUGUUAGUUUUGACUUCAUUCUCACUUAUUGUUUUUAGCUUAUUAAAGCUCAGUUCAAGGGGUAUCUUGAAGAAGAGGAGAAAGGAAAAUGAAAGCUGUUCAAUGUCUUUAACAGAUGAAAAUGAAUUUACAUAAGAUCCUGUGGUUCAGUCUAGCUACAAUACAAAGAAAUUUAAAGCUUUCAUUCACCAGAAGAAAAGACAAAGAGACUCACUGAAAAGAUGUUUGAAUUCCAAAAUGGUGUAUCCAAAAAACUCAUCCUCUCCUAUCUCACUUAGAAGAUCAACAAGUCUAAGGGUCAGUUAGGAGAUUUUUCUCAAACAAAAAUUGAAUUCUGGUGUUAUACACAAAAGUGUUUUUGCCAAAAAGACUCUUCAGGAUCAGUCAAGAGCUACAAAGGGUGAAGAUCGUAGUAAGUUCUUAAUGCUUCCCAUUGUCCUCAAGUCCAUCAAUACAUGUCGUUUAAACCCCAGGAUUAGUUACAUGUCGUUUAAGGCUUACUCAAUUCUCAAUGAGGAAGAAGAAACAUUCUGAUAAGUACCUCUCUAAAAAAUCCAAAGAAAAAAACUUUAUGGACGCAACAUCCUCAAAACCACCUCCUCUUAGAGACAGGGAUUUUCAUGAUCAUUGCUCUAAUAUUAUUGUUUGUCAACUUCAAAUCUCCUCAAGGCCACGUCCUCUUAGAGACAAGUUGCUUCAUAAUCAUUAUAUGUUUCUUUAUGCUAAAUGAUGUCUCUAAUAUCUAUUUUUCAAGGGUUAAUAGCACCUAAAAAUAUGUUCUGGAAUUCCUACAUGGUUAUUUCAAGUACAAGUCAUCAUUCACCAUAGAAAGUAACCUAGAAGAGGUUCUUAAUGAUGAACUUCAUACAAGGGCUAUUUGAGCUGAUUUGUUGACUAGAAAUUGAAGUUGAGGGGAGCUAAACCUGCUGUGAUUGAUCCUAAAGCUGAAACAAGUUUGAGCAAAUGUGCAUUACCAUUUUAUAACUGCUUAGAGGGUUUUCAAAUUCACAUCACUGCUGAAGUAAGUUUCUGUUUAUCAAACCUGCUGUGUUCAGUUGUUUUGCUGUAAUAAAAUCUAUUAAAUGAACUGUGAAUGUGGUUAUACUUCUGUGAAAUAAGUCUUCAUGGUCUGAGCAUAUUUAGUUUAUUGAUUUGAGGCUGUCUAAGUUCAAAUUUAGCCUGAGAAAUGACUUGUUCAGAUACUGGUGUUAUGAACUACAUUAGCUCAAGUUUACACUUGUUUACAAGGUUGGUUUAGGUGGAGUUAGUUCAAUAAAUUGUUGUACCUGGUGCAUUACUUUGCUGAGCAAGUGUAUACAGUUGAUUUACAUUUGAGAGAACCAAAGUCCAGAGGUUGGUAGUGUUGAAAUCCCAGAAUUACCCUCAUAAUAUUGUUGCUGCAGAAAUAGACUUAUGAAGCCAUCUUUGAAUUAAAAAAUUGAUUUUGACUUGCUUUAAAAUGAGAAAUGAUGAUUUGAUCAAGUGUAGUAUGUUGAUUCUGAGCUGUGAGAACUAUGAUAAAAAAGGGCUAAGUCACUAAUUUACAAGAUCAACCUUUAAACUUGAAUGUAUCAGUUGUAGCAAAUACACCUGUUGUAGGCCUGUAUUUUGCUGUUGUUUGUGCUAUAUUGUUGUGCCUCUGUGUGUACAUCUUGUCCCUACUGUAGAACAAGUUUAAUUCAUCAUAUUCAAGCUGAGGGAGCCUCUGGUUGUUGAGAAUUUGAGCUACAUCAAGGUUGUGUUUGGCAAAACUGAGUUUUAAGGUUUUAACCCUAAAAUAGCUACUGAGAUUAUAUACAUUGUUAUACCCUGUUGUAUUUAACGUGUUAGAUACAUGAGCAAGUGUAUUUGGGCUAUUGAAGACUGGGGGAGUAUUGUUUGGGUUGCCUCUGAAGCUGAAUCAUAAUUUUACCCUUGAAAGCUUGAAAGCUAGGGUUUUGAAGACUACAAGACUGAUGUGGACUGAAAAUAUUUUCAUUCAUGCCUCUCUAUGUGAAAUUGUUGAGUGGCUUGCUAAUUUAUCUUCAAAGGAGUCCUUUUCAGCUCUUAACUCAAGGAAAAUUGUUGUAAAGACCCUGAAGCCAUUUUGCACCCUAAGCACUAUUGAAGGCUCAAACACGUUAGAAUUGAUUUUUAUCUCUUAGUAUGUUGCUCAGUACCUCAGGUUCACCAUUUGAGCAUCUACAUGUCAUUAUUCAAAUGCUAUGUAUGCCCUUGAAGGGCCUGUUUUGAAAAAUUCUUGAAAAAUAGCAGCAUUCUCACCUAUCUAACAAAACCAUCAUCUGUUACUAAAAUUGUUCCUUUGCCCCAUAUAAUUGUUGGUCCCUUAUCUCUUUAUAUUGAUCCCUCAAAUGAAAUUGGUCCUCCUAGCUGCACUGAAUGCUCAUUUGGCCCAUUUGAUUUUCAAUGUCAAAAAGGGGGAGAAGACAAGCUUUUUGUCAUUAAAAGGCAAAAAAGGGAGAUUGUUGAUGUGGUUUGCUCUUUGAAUGAUAAAUAUUAGUCUUAGCUAAAUGGUAUCACCUAUCUUGAGGUUUGUUCUUGAAAACAAGUCUUAUAGGGUAAGGACUAUGGAGUAUGACAUCAAUUUCUCACAUAUCUCACAGGGGAAUAUUAGUCUUUUUAUACAUGGGAGUAAUCUUGUUGCACUUGUCUUUGAUACUAUAUUGCACUACAUAUAUUAUCCUAAGGGUUGAAUUACAAAUUCAAGGGCUCCAGCAAGCAGCAUCAGAUUUAUUUGACAAGUGUCAAUUGUGAAGGGCAAUUAUGUUAUCUCAGCUACAUUCUCAGGGGUAUUUUGAUCAAUCUAAUCUGCAGUGUAUGAUUGAAACAUUUUCCAAAGGUGCAUUGUAUCUUUGUUUUAGAAAAAUUUACUGAAUAUCAUCAUUUUGCUUGUAUACACAAAGUGUAUCAUUCCAAGGGCAAUUCUGGUACUUCAUUGAUAUCUCAAGGCUGUUAAAGGACUCACAGCAAUGUGCCACGUGCACAGUUGUCCUGGUGAGAGAAAUAUAUGUACAGAAAUACAAUUCUUAGCUGUAUACUUUAGCAUUGUACAUUGACCUUUGAGGGUUGCAGAAAAAGUGGUUGUUGUGCCACAAGCUAGGGCUGUACAGGGAUUGUUUGGUCUAUUCAUGGUAUAUAAUUUUUUUUAUAUCUCUAUCUAUGAUUGGCUUAAAGGGGAAUAUUCUUAUCCACACUAGGGCAGUAAAUUCAGUGUAUCAAUAUAUUGUUAUAGAGCAACAACAGAGUGUGUACCUUAGAGAGCCUAAAAUGUGCCUUUAAGCUUUAAAGAAGGUCUCGAGAGCUAAGAUGUUGAGAGAAUUUCAGAGAGAAUAUGUGAGGUUCUAAGCUGAAUUUAAUCUCUGAAUUCUUCAAGAGAAGUACACUGAAUCACUAAAGUAUUAAAGAACUUGUGUUGCUAUUUUUCUGGUGCAAGAAGAGGGUUGUGAAGGUUCAAAAAUUGCUGUAGAGGUUUCUGGGGUUUGAGCAAGGCUCAAGCAAGUGCCUUUGAGGUUUUUACAACUACAGAAUGUGCUCACUUGUACAAAGUUGAGCUGAAAUCUCCGUACACAGACGAAACAAGUAUAUGAGAACCUUGUUCAGGCCUGAGACCAUGCAGAAUACCAUUUAUACCCUCAGAGCAUAAGCAACACAGUAGCAUCAGAACUGAACCUGCAGUAAGCUCUUCAUUACUGAUUUUGUGCUUUAUAAUUCUAAUCUUGCAAUGCUAAGUAAGAACAAUAAUUGUGCAAGUAUAUUAUGGUUAUGUGAAGCUGUGGGAACCUGAAUUAGCUUAAGUAUCAGGUGGUUUGACAAAAUUACCCCUGUUGGCUUAAAGACUAAGGUUUAAUGUGUUCCAAGCCUUUUGUGAUCUAAGAUUGUCUUAUCUUGCUCUAUUCAAUGUUUCAAACUAUUGAGCAUGUUUGUUUGAAGAUAUAAAGGGUGUGGAAACAGAAGAAGGGUCAGUAUUGAAACUAAUCACUAAAGUGAUAAAUUUACCCUUGAAGAGGGUUUGAAGCCUUAUAAGCAGCAAGCUGUUGUGUACUUGCUGUUUGUGGUCCUAGAUUGAUUUAAGCAAACUUAUUUGGCUUAGCCAAGGCAGAGGGAACCUAGUGUAUACUUCAGGUGAAGUUGUAUUGUGCUGUUGGAGGACUAACUCAUUGAUUCGAGUUGGAUAAAAGCUAGGGUUUCACUUUGUUCUCACUUAAGGCUGUGUAUUGCAUUCCUACAUUGUGUUGCAGCUUAAGUGCAUUAUACUUGGUGUAUUAACACUUCAUUGUAAAUGGUAGUGAAUCUUUGAUACCUCACCCCAUUGUUGAUAAAGCUAUUGAAAGCUUUAGGGUCCAAGCAAGGUUGCUUUGGAUAGGGGGAGUGCUUGUGUGCACAUUGGUAAGCUAAUGUGUGAGUAUUGGUUGUGAAAACUAGUGUCUAUUAUUGUACAAGGGUGUGUGCAGAGAGUGAGAUAGCUGAGUGUGUAACAAGGUACUUCCAACUAGUGGAUGAUUUAUUGGCUGAGGCCAAGAACUAAAGUUUUUCCCUAUUGAGAGGGUUUCCUUGUA